Anas platyrhynchos (mallard) is the source of this 3037-nucleotide non-coding RNA. Lineage: Eukaryota; Metazoa; Chordata; Aves; Anseriformes; Anatidae. The record is from RefSeq and is a predicted model, not a curated record.
AUAGUGUUUUGUUCUUCUUAUAUUGUGGUGCCCAAAACUGCGCACUACUCAAGCUUCCAGUCGACUGGGACCUCUCCAUAUUCCCAAGACCAUUGAAAAUUAAUUGAGAGAAGUCUUGCGAUGACAUCAGCCAGCUUUCUGAGUAUCCUGGGAUGAAUCCCAUUGGGCCCCAUAGACUUGUAUGCAUCUAGCUGGAGCAGCAAAUCCUGCACAAAUUCCUGGUUGGCUGGGAGUUUAUAGUUAUCGCGGUCAUGAUCCUCCAACUCAGGGUUCCGGGGGUCCCAGGGCCCAUCAUCGGUGUUGAAGAUGGAGGCAAAGAAGGCAUUAAACGUCUCUGCUUUGUCUACGUCCCUAUUUGUGAGCUGACCGUCCUCAUUAAGUAAUAGACCAGUGUUUUCUCUGGUCCUCCUUUUGUUGUUAACACACUUUUAUAAAGCCCUUUUUAUUGUCCCCCGCAGUACUGGUCAGCUUCAACUCUAAUUGUACUUUGACCACACAAUUUUUCUCCCCACAAUGGUGAACAGCAUCUCUGUAGUCCUCCCACGUCACACGACCUCGCUUCCAGUGGCCAUACACUUUUUUUUCCCACCUAAGCUCUAGAAGAUCCCUGCUCAGGCAAGCUGGCCUUCUACCCCGCCUGCUUGACUUCUGACAUUUUGGAAUUGCCUGUUCCUGUGCUCUUAAGAGGUGGUACUUAAAAAGUGACCAGCACUGAUGGACCCCGAUGUCUUCAAAAGCAGUUUCCCAGGGGACCUUACUAACUAGUUCCCUGAGCAGCCUGAAGUCUGCUCUCCCCAUAUCCAGGGUCCAAAUUUUGCUGGUAGUCUUCCUCCUGUCACCAAAUAUUUUAAACUCAGUUAUGCUGCUAUAAAGCUGUUAGGAGCCAUAAACAUUGUUAACUGUUAAAUUUGACAAUUUUGAAAUUUUGAAUCUCUUUUGAAAAAAGUAAGGUAUAAAUGCCUAAACAGACGGACUCUAUGUAAAUCAGAUUGAAAUGGCUAAUAAACUACUUUGUCAGGUAGUAAUGCGUGGAGACCUCUACCAUGCUUAAAUUAUCUUCUGUCACAGUAGUUUUAUGACCAUGAGAUAAGCAUGAGAAAUAUAAAACAGCUCUCCUGGCUUGGAACGCAUAAAUAAGUGUCCUGAAUACUAUGGGGGAUGAUCUCCAUGCUGAUUCAGUGAAGGUAAUGAAUGUAAUGCCUUAAGGUUGCAUUUGAUCUGUUUCAGUAUUUCCAUGCAUUAUAAAGAUUGUAUAGAUCAUCUCUUUGGUUGAAGUCCUAGUUCUGCUGAAAACAAACAUAGCAAUCCUUCUCAUUCAUCAUGUUGAGAUUAUUUUUACUCUCAGUGUCUCAAGGCAAAUGUCAGAUGAAUGUUUUGUGUGUGUGUGUGUGUUCUUGGGAUGUCUGCUUCCCAAACACUGUUCUUACAGCUCCUGUUAUCAUGCAGGAUUCUAAACCGGAUGUUAAGCCAGUACUUGAGGAGAUAUGUCGUCUUGAAACCCUACAGAUUGCAGUAGAUUGAAACACUGUAAGAGGCCAUCACCUCUAAUCAGGGGAGGCAAUAACACCUGAGUGGCAUUAAACUGUUUCUGCUUGCUAUUUAAUAAAAGCAAUAAGUAGAAUCAGUAUCACUUUUAUGGGGAUUUUCUUGGAAAACAUUUAUUCUUUAUGAUUGUCUAUUAAGACUGUAAUUUGAUGUAAAGCUCUUAGAUGAUUACUCUUUGUUGCAUUAAAGGUUAAGGUAAUUGGGAGUGAAGCCCAAUUAGUCAUUAUAAGUCUGGUUGCGUUCAGUGUACUGAACUAUCACGAUUAUGGAUGCACAAAUAACAUAAUAUACCCUCAGUCUAGUCACAUUCCAUGAACUACCACGGCCACACUUAAAAGAGUUUGGUCAUGUUCCAUGAGAACUACCAUGGCUAGAUUAAUGAGCAGUGCAAUUUAUUAAAACAAUAGAUACAUGGGUUCUUUGGAUUGCCAAUGAUAAAUUCACUGUCUGCAAAGCAUGUGCAAAUACCAAAAGUAUGAGUAACACAGCCUGGCUACAAACACGUUAAAAUAUAUAAAGAUAUGAAGCAACUCUAUAGAGAUUUCUAAGUUUCCUGGGGAGGCGCUUGGUAUAACCAAGUGUUUGAAUCUUACCCAAAGGCAUCCCAAUGGGGGGGGGGGGGGCGGGGGGGAAGAGAGGCUCAGCCCGUUGACUGAUCCCAAAAGUCAGAAGGUAUCUUUUGAGAUAAUAUCUUUUCCUUUGUGAUGAUAUCUUCCCUAACAUCCUCUCUCCCUUAAGCUAAUUUAUAUCUUUUUUUUUAUCAGUCAGGUGGAGCUUGAGUGACUCUAGUCAUGCAUACCUUUGUUACGAUUGGUGCUAAAUUUUCUUGCUUUUGCUUAAAGGUAUAGGAUCAGAGAAAUUCAGAGCACAUGCUCAGUGAAGGGGUGUUCGCACCUUGGAGGCGGGUAGCCUUUGGGAUGGAGGUGUGUUUUGGUAUUAUAAUGAUAUUAUAAUGAGCAAAGUUCACCAAAAGGACAGCAUUUUGUCAAAAACAUGUCAGGCCGUUGGCCCAGGGUAGCAAAUAUGCAGCUUAUUGGUUCCGAUGUACCUCUGAGUUCCCAUCUUAUCACAGAGCCUGGCCACAGCGUCUCCACUCCACUCCACCUUCCGUACAGUUCCUCUUAGAGUCAGCACACCAAGUUCCCCUGGUGUGGACAACAUCUAAGGUUGGAGGCCUAGGGAAGUUCUAUGGAAUGCAGCUACACUCCACCCUGGAAGCUUCUUCAGUGCCUUUUCUUAAAAUUGUGAAUAUAAGCUUAAUUUCUAAGUCAUCUCAGGCAAUUAUUCCACAUAAUCCACUCCGUGACUAUAGUCACUCAAGCUUCAUGACAUUUGAAAUAUAUCAGGUGUAUCACAUAUGAUGAGGAUUAUCGAGUAUAUGUACGUCUUGUAGGGAUGCUACAAGUUUCAUCAUGAUCCAUAGUUUAACAUACAGGGAUUGUCAAUAUGAAAGACAAUGCAGUGAGUAUUAAUAAAACAAUGACAGGAUGAA